Non-coding RNA from Pimephales promelas (fathead minnow), 941 nucleotides. The record is from RefSeq and is a predicted model, not a curated record. NCBI's taxonomy places the organism in Eukaryota, Metazoa, Chordata, Actinopteri, Cypriniformes, Leuciscidae.
UUACUCUCUAAAAGCACACGAAUAAUACUCACAACUGUUUUCGACAUUUCUCCUACUUGUAAUUGACACGAUUCUGUUAAAAAUGUACUUUAUCGACAUGGUGUAGUCUUCGGAAAAAGUCCGUAGAGGUAACUUAGCAAGGCUAAAGAGGUAGCAGCUAACGUUAGCAAGGCUAACUAACAUCCACGUUAACUCGGUUGAACUUUUAUUUAUUAAAGUUUCUUUUAAUCACCUAUUAUGUGUAAAUGAGAGGUUUUGUAAGGGUUUUACAGUGAGCUAAUUUAUUUAACGUAAACGUAACGUAUCGGUGAUGUUUCAGGACUUUCAGGAGCAAUUGGCCGAAACUAACGUUAGCUCAAUGGUAACGUUAAACACAUUUUGAUUAAAUGUUCUGUGAUUUCAGUAGUAACGAAAUAACCCAUAACAGAGAGAAAGCUCCUACUUCAACAUUUCUGAAGAAAGCUGCUGCCGGAGAAGUAACGUUAGGACACAGAACAAGUUUGUGACUGACUUAAUGAACCCAGUUGGUUUGGAUCAUGCUCAGAGAUGUAAGGGUUACAAAAAGUUAACCAGAACUCUUAUGAACUCCAUCUUGUCUUUCAAAGAGAUGGCAACAUGAACGGGAAAAAAGGGGUUGUUGGUGAAAAAAGAGCCUUGACCUACAAAAGGUGCAGCUAAUAAUUGACUAUGUCAAAAAGAGGCACCCAGGCAUCGGAGGCACUGAGAUCAAGGUCUGCAUGGCACAAAAGUUAAGAGAUCUGAGGAGACGAGCAGAAAGAUGACUGUGGUGAAGAUGGAUGAAGAUGGAUGAGGCUUUCAAGUGCAGGAUCUACAAUUGUUUUCGUUUCACCUUUUUGUUUUGCCUGUUUUGAAUGUGAUGCACAGCCUAGGCCUAUAUAAUUGUGUUUUUUUGUCUGUUUUUAAUCAACAAUUAAACAAUG